CCAUGCCGUAAACGGUGGGCGCUAGGUGUAGGGGUCUUCCACGACUUCUGUGCCGUAGCUAACGCAUUAAGCGCCCCGCCUGGGGAGUACGGCCGCAAGGCUAAAACUCAAAGGAAUUGACGGGGGCCCGCACAAGCGGCGGAGCAUGUGGAUUAAUUCGAUGCAACGCGAAGAACCUUACCUGGGCUUGACAUAUGCAGGAUCGGGCUAGAGAUAGUCUUUCCCUUGUGGUCUGUAUACAGGUGGUGCAUGGUUGU
RNAcentral lists this ribosomal RNA (257 nucleotides) under uncultured bacterium. RNAcentral describes it as "partial 16S ribosomal RNA". It matches the Rfam family "Bacterial small subunit ribosomal RNA", at positions 795 to 1052 of the family's 1533-position model. The record is from RNAcentral.